CCUACGGGACGCUGCAGUGAGGAAUAUUGGUCAAUGGACGGAAGUCUGAACCAGCCAUGCCGCGUGCAGGAAGACGGCUCUAUGAGUUGUAAACUGCUUUUGUACAAGGGUAAACCUGACUACGUGUAUUGAGCUGAAAGUACUGUCCGAAUAAGGAUCGGCUAACUCCGUGCCAGCAGCCGCGGUAAUACGGAGGAUCCAAGCGUUAUCCGGAUUUAUUGGGUUUAAAGGGUGCGUAGGCGGAUUGAUAAGUUAGAGGUGAAAUGUCCGAGCUUAACCCGGGAACUGCCUCUACUACUGUUGGUCUAGAGAGUAGAUGAGGUAGGCGGAAUGUAUGGUGUAGCGGUGAAAUGCUUAGAGAUCA
Molecule: ribosomal RNA, 364 nt
Filed under: uncultured bacterium
Lineage: Bacteria
Description: partial 16S ribosomal RNA
Rfam family: Bacterial small subunit ribosomal RNA
Source: RNAcentral